RNAcentral lists this non-coding RNA (23 nucleotides) under Cricetulus griseus (Chinese hamster). Lineage: Eukaryota; Metazoa; Chordata; Mammalia; Rodentia; Cricetidae. The record is from RNAcentral.
UUAUUAGCUUGGUAGUUGGAACC